AAAAGGAUCCGAGUUUGUUCACUGAUGGAGAGGGGCACUUAGAGCAAGAUACCCGACCUUGACUGGGGACCAAGCACGAAAUCCCUAAGAGGUGACAGGAAGAGAGAAGUCUGAAACGUUAAGUGAGUUAACCAGAUGGUGUCAGAAGUGGAAUCCAAAGAAGAGCUAACAACCCCCAGGAGCGCUGAGCGUGGUUCCCACUCGGCCCAUUGUGCCCAUUGCUCUCUUGGAGCAGCUGGGGAUCGUGAGUUUCGCUCUUGUUUCCCAGGCUAGAGUACAAUGGCACAAUCACGGGUCACCGCAACCUCCACCCCCUGGGCUCAAGUGAUUCCCCUGCCUCAGCCUCCUGAGU
This 352-nucleotide long non-coding RNA is filed under the name Homo sapiens (human). RNAcentral's name for it is "non-protein coding lnc-RPRM-4:2". Lineage: Eukaryota; Metazoa; Chordata; Mammalia; Primates; Hominidae. The record is from RNAcentral.